CGUCGUUACAACAUUUAACUACAGGAAC
This 28-nucleotide transfer RNA is filed under the name Setophaga discolor (prairie warbler). RNAcentral describes it as "partial tRNA-Glu". Lineage: Eukaryota; Metazoa; Chordata; Aves; Passeriformes; Parulidae. The record is from RNAcentral.